This 386-nucleotide ribosomal RNA is filed under the name uncultured bacterium. RNAcentral describes it as "bacterial SSU rRNA". It matches the Rfam family "Bacterial small subunit ribosomal RNA", at positions 28 to 414 of the family's 1533-position model. The record is from RNAcentral.
GACGAACGCUGGCGGCGUGCUUAACACAUGCAAGUCGAGCGGUAAGGCCCUUUCGGGGUACGACGAGCGGCGAACGGGUGAGUAACACGUGGGUGACCUGCCCUCAGCUCUGGGAUAAGCCUGGGAAACCGGGUCUAAUACUGGAUAUGACUCCAUGACGCAUGUUGUGGGGUGGAAAGCCUUGUGCGGCUGAGGAUGGGCCCGCGGCCUAUCAGCUUGUUGGUGGGGUGANGGCCUACCAAGGCGACGACGGGUAGCCGGCCUGAGAGGGCGACCGGCCACACUGGGACUGAGACACGGCCCAGACUCCUACGGGAGGGCAGCAGUGGGGAAUCUUGCGCAAUGGGCGAAAGCCUGACGCAGCGACGCCGCGUGAGGGAUGACGG